Molecule: RNA transcript, 10056 nt
Organism: Camelus dromedarius (Arabian camel)
Lineage: Eukaryota; Metazoa; Chordata; Mammalia; Artiodactyla; Camelidae
Exons: 11
Source: RefSeq, a predicted model, not a curated record
UAAUGUGAUAAAGGAGAAUGACAUGGUGUUAAGAAAUUAUGUUAAUGUAAUGGGCUUUAUGAAUUCACAAAUUAGCUGAGCACUGAGAGGGAUUGGAAUUAGAUAGGCAAAUCUCUUGAGGGGAGUAGGGCAUUGAUGUGUAAAAGAUUAUUCCUGAGAGUGAGAAUAGCAUGUGUAUGGCCCUGUAGCAUGAGGGAACAUAGUAAGUACGAGGCUUGUAAGAAGUAUAUCUAUGGUAAUGAUCAUGAAGGUGAACAAGGAGUGAUUUGAGGCAACUAACAAGGGUAAGGCCAAAUAUAUAACAGUCAGCAUAUUACAGCAGGCUGUCCGGCCAGCCGGCCCUCCGCCCGCGCCGCGGGGUGGGCAAGCGCCCCGCGGGGGUCUCGGGCUCCCAGCCCACUGCCACGCCUCCCUGCCACCCGCUAGGCGUCGUCCGGGGACGCCCCUCGCCGAGAGAGACCCUCAAUCACAAGUCACCCCGCCCUCCCCACCGUCCUCGCCGUGCCACGAAACCCCGCCCCCGAACCGCCCUCCCGAUCUCCGUGCAGUACCCCUCGCCCCUCGCCGGGAAGAACGCAGUGACUCCAGCAGCCCUGUCGGCUCUUUGGGCCCAAGGGGCGGGCGCGGCAGCCAUUGGCGGAGGCCGCUGCCUCCGGCUGUCAAUCCCGCGGCCCGGCCCCGCCCCACCGGCGGAGCGUGGCAGGACGCAGGGCCGCGGGGGCUGUCGGGACGGCUCCAAGAUGGCCGCGCGCUUGGGGUCCGCACCUGCUGGCAGCCCCGAGCCCCGUUCACUGCCACCGCUGCUGACCAGAGCCGCCGGUCGGCCUGGCGACUCCGGGGGCUGACCCCGCGGGGCGGGAGGCCGCCAUGGCGACCCUGGAAAAGCUGGCGAAGGCCUUCGAGUCCCUCAAGUCCUUCCAGAGGCCGCCACCGCCGCCGCCGCUGCCUCAGCCGGCACCGCAACUGCCGCCGCCUCAGCCUUCUCAGCCGGACCCGCGGCCUCAACCGCCACAGCCGCCCGCCCAGCCCCCUCAGCCGGCACCGCAGCCGACGCCGCCUCAGCCGGUACCACCGCCGCCGCCGCCUCAGGCCCCGCAGCCGGCACCGCGGCCUCAACCGCCACAGCCGCCCGCCCAGCCCCCUCAGCCGGCACCGCAGCCGUCGCCGCCUCAGCCGGUACCGCCGCCGCCGCAGCCCUCUCAGCCGGUAACGCCGCCUCAGCCGGUACCGCAGCCGCCUCAGCCCUCUCAGCCGGUACCGCAGCUUCAGCCGGUACCGCCGCCGCCUCAGCCCCUUCAGCCGGCACCGCAGCCGCCGCAGCCUCAGCCCUCUCAGCCGGUACCGCCGCCUCAGCCGGUACCGCCGCCACCUCAGCCGUCUCAGCCGCCGCCGCCUCAGCCGGUACCGCAGCCGCCGCAGCCCCCUCAGCCGGCACCGCCGCCGCCGCAGCCUCAGCCCCCUCAGGCGGUAUCGCCGCCGCCUCAGCCCUCUCAGCCGGUACCGCCGCCGCCUCAGCCCUCUCAGCCGGUACCGCCACCGCCUCAGCCCCCUCAGACGGUACCGCCGCCUCAGCCGGCACCGCACCCUCAACCGCCACCACCGCCCGCCCAGCCGUGGGUCAGGAGCCGCUGCACAGACGGUGUGUUAUUCUGGGAGAUCAUCAGGACUUCUGGGUAUUUGGAGGUAUUGACCUAACCAGUGGAACUGCUGAUUUAUAAGAAGUUGUCCAGAAUUUUGGAAAACUGAUUAGUAGAGGCUGGAGACCGAGAAGAACUACCAUUUUUGCCGGCUGGGAUGAAGAAAAAAUCGGACUUCUGGGUUCCACAAAUGGGCUGAGGUAACUAAGACAGAAAAUGUAUCUUCUUGGUCAACAUGUAACUCAGGGUAAUCACAGAUGUGUUCCAUUACCUGAUAUUGUUUUAAUUUGGAUAAAUACUCAAGAAAAUUUAAGAAAUAGAGUUUGUUUUUGCUUUUACAUCAGUUUGGCAAAACAAAACAACCUCUUAAUUACUAAGUACAAACCAAUUUUUUCAUUAUUUUUAAAAUAUUUUAGUUUCUGUUUAUAUUUGUUUUGUGAUAAGUAAAAUCUGUAAGCUCAGAAAAUAGUCAAACCUAGGAAGCUGCUUCUGACAAGUGAAUUAUCUUAUUGAAAAUCUGAUAUAGAUCCUUGGCAUUAAUUUUCAAGUUUUUACAUUUUCCUUGGAUUUCUUCUAUCUAGGAAAACAACAUGCUCUUUUAAGAUGAGUAUACUCUGAUUAUAGUCUCUCCUUUAUGGAUUCCAUACUAAAUUGUAACCAUACGUAUAUUUUACCAUUUACAAAAGUGCCUGAUUGGGAAGUAUAAUACAUUGAUUUUGUAAAUUGAAUUACUCUAAAAUUUCAAGGAUUUAUUUUUAAUUCAAUUAUGAUUUAAUUUUCAUUUGUCACUGGCUCUUAAUGCUUUAUUUUAAAGUGUCUCUCAUAGGCCCCCUUCUUUCAUCUUCUUCCCUUAGGCUCUCUGUCCAGUAACUCUAAGUUCUUACAUGUUCAAGCUCUGUCAUAAUGGAAACUCUGCAGCAGAAUCAGCUGUCAUCUAUCCCGUGUGGCCAAGUGCAGAGGAGAAUGUGAAAACACUCUAGGAGAGAGAGGUUGCAUAUAUCAAUGCAGACUCAUACACAGAAGGCAAUUAUACUCUCAGAGUUGACUGUAUACCCCUUCUUUUACAGUUGGUAUAUAAACUGACAAAAGAGUGGAGGAAUCAGACAUCAUUCAUCUGGAGAAAUGCUGUUGGUUGCUGAGUGCUCAAUCCCGAACUGGAUGAUUUGAUUUAGAGACAUUUGGCCCAUUGGCUUCACCACCAAUUUGUCCAUCUCUGAGUGAAGAUGGGAAUCCUUCUAUUUUCUACAAAUGUUCUUUGGUAAACACGUGAGCCUUGUUCCACCUUUGGAGCCUUGUGGUUAUUUAACGCUUUUGGUGAAAAUCAUGACAGCCACAUAGAUUUUAAGGAGAUAUCCUGUGGGUUAUCAGCUUGUUGCAGAGGACCUCUGGCUGAAAGACAGAAAUUUUGCUUCAAGGUAUUUGAUGUUGACGGUGACGGAGUUCUUUCUAGGGUUGAACUGAGAGACACGUGGUUGCACAUUUAGAGGUCUGGAAGGACAACUGCACCGAUGAUAUCCUGUAAUUACACGUGGAUGUAUCCAACAUUGUAGAAGACCCAUAGAAUGCGCAUGAUACCACAAAGAAUGGCCAUCUUAACUCUAGAAGAAUAUCAGAUCUGGAGUGUGAAAAAUGUUCUUGCCAAUGAGUUUUUGAAUCUACUUUUCCAGGUAUGUUUAAGGUAAAUGACAGAGACCGAGGGCAGUGGUACCAGUAGUUCUACAUCUUUUCCAUUAUGUAGUAGUUAGACAACUAGACUACAAACCAUAUAUUGUCAAAAGAACUGCAUUGACCUGUACACCACCUGCAGAUGGUAAGUUAGAGCGUGCGUGCUUCUCAGAGUCACAAUGUGCAUGAUAGGAAAGUAGAGUAUAGCUGAUAAUGUUUAUCUUAAUAACUCAUGAUAGAGCAGAUUAUAAACUCAUAGAAAAGAAUUUAAAAUGUAAAAGCCAUUAUAAUUUGCUAUUUUUCUUUACUUUUUUUUUUUUUUUUAAGACCCUUCCUAACAAGUAACGCAGUGUGGACAGAGACAUAGAUCAUAAGUUGGCAGCUGUAAAUUUUUCACAAAGUAUACAAUCUUUCCAGUUAGGAGGUUAUAUUAGAUGCAAAGCUGUUUCUUAAUUUUCUUUUUUUUCUUUCUUUCUUUCUUUUUUUUUCUUUUUUUUAAUUUAAUUCUUUAGAAGGCCCAAAAAAGGUUGAAGGAGAAAGGAGGAAAGAAAAACUGUCAGGGGUGAACAUGAAAUCAUAAAACUUGCCAGAUUUUAACUAUUUUCCAAGUUAAAGUAGUUCUCUUUGCUCCAAUUUAAAGAAACAACUUACAGUUUCCCAUUUUUCAUAGUUCUUCAUAAAUAUAUGUUGAUUUAAUAGUAUUUUACAGGGUGUGAGUAGGGACAGACUGGAAGUUCAAGAUUUGUAAAUACUGACAGUAUAUAUAGAAUAGAUAAACAAGUUUAUACUGUAUAGCACAGGGAAAUAUAUUCAAGAUUUUGUAGUAGCUCAUGGUGAAAAAAUAUGAAAACAAAUAUACGUGUAUUCAUAAAGGACUGAAAAAUUGUGCUGUACACCGGAAAUUGACACAACAUUGUAAACGGACUAUAACUCAGUAAAAAAAUAAAAAUAAAGAUAAAACUUUUAGAACACUAUAAAAAAAGUAGUAUUUUAGAUUUUUCUUAUUUUAUUUCCUUUUCUUAUAAAAGCACCCCUAUGAAGAUCAAUAAGACUUGAUAUCUUUAUAUCUAUCAUGAUCCUCCAUUGUAAAUACAGAUUAACCUGCCUGUGACACAGCUAUGUUAGAAUAAAUGAAAAUUGAACUCUUCCUGACAGCUAAUAACUAAUGUAUAUUUAAAGCAUAUGAAAUCUGAUAAGCCUAUGAUACCCAUUUAAAUCAAUCAGUUGCUCUACUGUCAGUUAUCAGCCAGGAUCUAAGUUGAUGUCUUUAUAAAACAUAAAUACAUAUAAAAAUAAUAUAAACCUACUGUAAACAGAAAUGACUUGCUUAGUAAUAUGAAAAUGGUGCAGCUAUUUUAAUCUCAUUUAAAAUGAUGUCCUCAAUUACUUUAAGUUAUCAUUAAUUAUAUAAACAUUUUGACCACUUAAGUUUGUGUCUGAGUCAUCUUGCAGCUCUUACAUAGCAAAGCAUUUUGAACUUUUAUAUUGCCUUUCCUAUUUUCUCAUGCUUAUCAGGGACUUGCAUAGGCACUAUUUUUACUAUGACUCUAUAAACAGAUGUAUGCCUGAGAUUUUCUUUUGUGUCUCAGUGUCUCUAGCAUUAUAUUACUGACAGAUUUUUUGUUGGUUAUCAAUCUAAUUUUUUUCUUGGUAUAUAUAGUCCUUUCAAAUAUAUAUAUAUAUGUAGUCAGUUUACACUGUUGUGUCAAUUUCUGGUGUACAGCACAAUGCUUCAUUCAUACAUGAACAUACAUAUAUUCAUUUUCAUACUCUUUUUCACCAUAAGUUACUACAAAACAGUAUUGGAUAUAGUUCCCUGUGCUAUACAGUAUGAACUUGUUUAUAAAUUGGGAGUUUGAUUUGCAGGUACUAAAUAUUAACAUUACAUUUUAUGAUGCUCACUUUAUCCCAUAUUCAGACAUGUUUUUAAAACUUUAUGUUCACUUAAUAUAUAAGUAAGAAGACUUAAUCUAAAUUGUUUUAUUUUCUGUCUGUUUCUAAAAUAGAAUUAGCUAGUAAAUUCAGUGAUAAAAGCUUGAAUUAUACUUUUAUUUUAUUUGCCAAGAUUCCACUCCUGGCUGACCAUUUUGGGUAUUUAAGUAUAAAGUAAGUAAAUGUCAGUAGAAUUAGGAAACCAUUCCUGUGGUAAUAUUAUUUUCAGUCCUUUCAAAUAAACUCAGUGCCCAAUAUUUUGCAGAGGAAGCAUUCUAAACAUGAUCAGGGUCUUCUAUCUUGUACGUUAGAAAGCGUCAAAUGUUAAACAGUUUGAUAAACAGAAUAGUGCACCACACUGACCCCUACCUAUAUCCAUGCUCUAAUCCUGAAAUCUGUGAAUAUGUUAUUUUACAUGGCAAAGGGGAUUUUGCAGAUGUAUCAGGUUAAGGACUCUGAGACAGGGAGAUUAGCCUGGAUUAUCUACAUGGGCCUAGUCUAACAACAGGAGUCCUUAAAAAUUGAAAAUCUUUCCCAGCUGUGGUCAGAAAGAUAUGACUUUGGAAGAGGGAUUAGAAAGCUGUAAAGCUUUUAGCUUUGAAGAUAGAGGAAGGGCCAUGGGUAAAGAAGUGUGUGUGAACUCUAGAAGCUGAAAAAGACAAGGAAAUACAUUCUUCCUUUGACCUACAGAAGGGCAUAGUGCUGCUGACAUCUUGAUUUUUAGCCAAGUGAUACCUGUUCCUGACGACCUACAGAACCAUAAAACAAUAAGUUUGUGUUGCUUUAAGCUGCAAAAUUUGUGAUAAUUUGUUACAGCAGUGAUAAAUAUAAGUAUAGGGGAGAUAAUCCAAAUUUAUGGAUUGGAGGGCUCAACAUUUUAAAGAUGUCAGUUCCCCUUCAACUGAUUCAAAGGUUUACAUGUGCACAUCAAAAUCCCCAAAAGUUAAUUGUUGUUACUGUUUUUUUGUAGAACUUGACAAGCUGAUUCUAAAUACAUAGAGAAGCGUGAAGGGCCAAUAGCCAAGAUGAUAUUAAAGAACAAUAUUAAAGGACUUAUUAUAAAACAAUAUUAAGUCUAUGUGAUAACUACCUAAAGUUAGACAUAUAGACCAAUGGAACAGUAUUGAAUUAAACCCUGUACCAUACAUGAACAGUAAUUUUAGAUAGAUUAUAAACCUAAUAAAUUUGAAACAUAAAGCAAAGCAUCUGGGGGAGGGUAAAGCUCCGGUGGAAUGUGUGCUUAGCAUGCAUAAGGUCUUGGGUUCAACUCCCAGUACCUCCAUUAAAAUAAAUAACCUAAUCCCCCACCAAAAUAAAGCAUCUAGAAAAUAGUGUAGGAGAUAUUUUAAUGACUUUGAAGUGGCAAAGAGUUCUUAAACAGGACACAGCACUAAACAUAAAAGAAGAGUUUUAAGUUGGACUUCAGUAAAAUUAAGAAUUAUUUUUAUCAAGAGAUACCAUUAAGAAAGUGAAAAGCUAAGCCACACGGUGGGAAAAUAUAUUUGCUAUACCUAUAUCCAACAAAAGACUUGUAUCUAGGGCAUAUAAAGAACAAAAACCAGUGGAGAAAAAGGCAGAACCUUAAUAUUAAAAUGUGCAAAAAAAUUGAACAGGUGCUUCUCACACACACAAAAAAAUCCACAUAAGCUAUGAAAAGGGGCUGACCUCUUUAGUAAUAAUGGAAAUACGUACUAAACCCACACUUGGAACACCAUUAGGCAUCCACUAGAAUAGUUAGUUGUUAAGUGAUACGAAGCAUUGGUGAGGGCAACAAGCAAUGGGGACUCUUACACAUGGCCAGUGGGAAUAUAAAUUCUUACAAAUACUUUGGAAAUAGGCUUUUUGAAUGAAAGUUAUAUAUGUAUAUGUGUGUGUGUAUAUGUGUACACACACACACACACACACACCCUAUUACCAAGGGUAACCCAUGUGUGUACCCUUCAGAAACUUCUACAUCUGAGCACCAAAGGACAUCCAGAAAAUUCUCAUAAUCACUAUUUGUUAUACCCCCAAAUAGAAAAUGACCCAAACACUUUUCAACAAUACAUGACCAUAAGUGGUGGCACAUGCAUACAAGUUGUGUACUUUAAAGCAAUAAAAAUAAAUAUACUAGUUUACAGAAAACACUAGUGGAUGAAUCUUACAUAAUUUUGAGAGGAAAGUAUGGGACCAAAAAUUUCAAAAGCAAAAAAGCCAAUCCAUGGUGGCUGAAUUUAGGAUGGUGAGUCCAUCAAAGGGGUGCCGUAGUAUCUGGGAAGAAACCCAAAGUGGAACAGCAAUGUUCUGUUUCUUGACUGGAUGAAGGUUACAUAGAUGUGUUUACUUUGUGAAAAAUCACUGAGCUGCAUACUUAAGAUGUGUUCACAUUUAAGCAUGUAUUUUAUAUUUGCAUUUUUUAAAAAAAUAUUUGCUUGCAAAAAAAGAUAUCCAAAGCCUAAGUAUUUAUUAGUAGGAGGAUGAAUAAAACAAAUGAUAGUAUAUUCAAAUAAUGGAAUACUAUUCAACAAUAAAAAAGAAUCAACUACUGAUACAAGGAUGAACCUCAAAAGCCUAAUUUAUACAUCUCAUUGUCAGGUAAAUUUUAACUCAGAAGGUAAACAAAACUGUAAACAGGCAUGUGCCCUGGGGGGAGGGGUGCUUUAGCCUUUGUCUCCUCAGACCUGUGCCAUUACUGGCACAUCCCGCAAGAAGAGAGGCAGGGCUCAGCCACAGCUACCAUCUCCUCCUGUGCAUAGUGCCCGGGCGGGGGCGGGGCUGAGGCCUGAAUCUGCACGUGGGGGCUCCACAACCUCCUAGGCAGGACUGAGACUUGUUUAUAGCCUGAGGCAGGGAGGAUCUUUCUACCCUGACACCUCAGAGAACUUGUGCUGCCAAGAGAAACAAGGAGCUCAGAUUUGGCACAGAGCGUAGGCGGGGCUGUUCCGCGGUCUUCCCCGAGCCCACCUACAGACCGCCUACCCGAGGCAGAGCAGGCAGCUGCACAGAGCAGCGGAGUGACCAGCACCAGGAGAGGGCACAGCACCUGACCACGGUGCUGGGAUGGGGUGUGAUCUGCCCACCUGCCUCCCCCUGAGCACAGCAUCUGACUGUGGCAUCAGGAGGGGGAGUGACCUGCCCGCCCACUGGGUAAGAGCUCAGCUUCUGACCUAGUGUUAGGAGGGGGCACAAUCUGCUAGCCAACAGCCACUGAGAGCAGCACAGAUGAGGGCGCCAACCGAAGGCCUAUGAAACAGCAAGCUGAGUUCGCGAAGCAGGACGAAGACACAAAGACUUCUCGAUCAAAUCAUUAAGGGCACACCAUCUCCAGGUUAAGUAGGUAACUGAUACUCCUUAAGCCACGGUGCCAGAGAGAUAUGAGCAAUGUGAAUAAACAGAGAAACCACUCCCAAUGAAAACAUCAAGAGAAAUCCCCUGAAAGCGUGAUCAAGGAAAUAGACAUUGAUGGCCUACUAGAUCAAGAUUUCAAGAAAAUAGUGAUCAAAGUACUGAAGGAACUAAAAGAAAUAGGGUUUAGGGAUAUAAAAUAUGUCAAAAAUGAAAUAGAAACUAUAGAGAAGAACCAAGUAGAAUUAGUAAACUCAUUGGCUGAGAUGAGAGCUGACCUAAAGGCUGUGCAAAGCAGACUAGAAAAUACAGAAGAACAAAUAUGUGAUCUAGAAGACAGGACAACAGGAAGCACCCAAUCAGAACAGCUGAGAGAAAAACAAAUAAAAAACAAUGAAAACAAUAUAUGGGACAUAUGGGGUAAUAUAAAGUGUGCCAAUCUAUGCAUAAUAGGAGUUCCAGAAGGGGAAAAAGAACAAAGGGGAUUGAAAAGGUAUGGGAAGGACUCAUGACUGAAAACUUCCCAAACCUAAAGAAGGAAUCAUAUCCAAGCACAGGAGGCUCAGAGGGUCCCAAACAGGAAGAACCCAAACAGACCCACACCAAGGCACAUCCUAAUCAAGAUAGCCAAAGUCAAGGAUAAAGAAAUGAUCCUAAAGGAAGCAAGAGAAAAACAGAGUGAGUUACAAGGGAACCCCCAUAAGGUUUUCAGCUGAUUUCUCUACACUGUUUACAACAGCUAAGACAUGGAAACAGCCUAAAAUGUCCAUCAACAGAUGACUAGAUAAAGAUGUGGGAUAUUUAUAUGAUGGGAUACUAUUCAGCCACAAAAACUGACAACAUAACGCCAUUUGCAGAGACAUGGAUGCUCAUGGAGAAUGUUAUUCUAGGUGGAGCAGAACAGAAAGAGAAAGAGGAAUAACAUAUGAGAUCACUCAUGUGUGGAAUCUUAAAUAUAUGCAAGAUCUUGUGGUAACUCACAGCAAAAAAAAAAAGUGACAAUGAAUAUAUGUACGUUCAUGUAUAACUGAAAAAUUGUGCUCUACACUGGAAUUUGUCAUAACAUUGUAAAAUGACUAUUACUCAAUAAAAAAUGUUUAAAAAUAAAUAAAAUAAAAUAUAACCGUUAAAAUACUGUAUAAUGAGAGGUGUGAUGUUCUAGUAUCUGUUCUAAGAAGUACGUUAGACACACAUAAUAGCCAAUGGUCAGAAAGAUCACAUGUUAUCAGCUACCACCCCAUGCAAAUUAAUGGCAUUUAGUAGAUAUUCAUAUAUGUGUGUACAUAUAUAAAAUGUGUAUUAGUAUAUAUGUAAAUCAAAUAAAAUAAUUAUAUUAUAAUCUAAUGUAAAAUCAUAUCAGCAAGCACACUGUGCUGACAUAAGUGUCUUGGUGUAAACAGAUUACAAUUUUUCAUUGAGUUUUCAUAAUGGGAUAAUAUUGUGAACCAAGUGGAAAUUGUAAAAAAAUGUUAUCCAAAAAAAAAAAAAAAAUCCUGAC